CCCUUAGAUGUCCUGGGCCGCACGCGCGCUACACUGAUGCAUUCAACGAGUAUUUCCUUGGCCGAGAGGCCUGGGCAAUCUUUUAAACCUGCAUCGUGAUAGGGAUAGAUUAUUGCAAUUAUUAAUCUUGAACGAGGAAUUCCUAGUAAACGCAAAUCAUCAAUUUGCAUUGAUUACGUCCCCGCCCUUUGUACACACCGCCCGUCGCACCUACCGAUUGAAUGGUCCGGUGAAAUCUCGGGAUUGUGGCCAGUUCACUUUAUUGGGAGUUGGCUGCGAGAACUUGCUUAAACCUUAUCAUUUAGAGGAAGGUGAAGUCGUAACA
RNAcentral lists this ribosomal RNA (325 nucleotides) under uncultured eukaryote. RNAcentral's name for it is "partial 18S ribosomal RNA". It matches the Rfam family "Eukaryotic small subunit ribosomal RNA", at positions 1470 to 1796 of the family's 1831-position model. The record is from RNAcentral.